CGGCGAGUGAAGCGGCAACAGCUCAAAUUUGAAAUCUGGCCUUCGGGUCCGAGUUGUAAUUUGUAGAGGAUGCUUUUGGCGCGGUGCCUUCCGAGUUCCCUGGAACGGGACGCCUUAGAGGGUGAGAGCCCCGUACGGUUGGACACCAAGCCUCUGUAAAGCUCCUUCGACGAGUCGAGUAGUUUGGGAAUGCUGCUCUAAAUGGGAGGUAAAUUUCUUCUAAAGCUAAAUAUUGGCCAGAGACCGAUAGCGCACAAGUAGAGUGAUCGAAAGAUGAAAAGCACUUUGAAAAGAGGGUUAAAUAGCACGUGAAAUUGUUGAAAGGGAAGCGUUUGCGACCAGACCUUUUCCUAGCGGAUCAUCCGGUGUUCUCACCGGUGCACUUUGCUAGGUUGAGGCCAGCAUCGGUUUUCGUAGGGGGAUAAAAGCCUGGGGAAUGUAGCUCCCUUGGGAGUGUUAUAGCCCCUCGCACAAUACCCUUACGGGGACCGAGGACCGCGCCUUCGGGCAAGGAUGCUGGCAUAAUGGUCGUCAACGACCCGUCUUGAAACACGGACCAAGGAGUCGAACAUUUGUGCGAGUGUUAGGGUGUUAAACCCUCACGCGUAAUGAAAGUGAACGGAGGUGAGAGCCCUUACGGGUGCAUCAUCGACCGAUCCUGAUGUCUUCGGAUGGAUUUGAGUAAGAGCAUAACUGUUCGGACCCGAAAGAUGGUGAACUAUGCGUGGAUAGGGUGAAGCCAGAGGAAACUCUGGUGGAGGCUCGCAGCGGUUCUGACGUGCAAAUCGAUCGUCAAAUCUGCGCAUGGGGGCGAAAG
This 817-nucleotide ribosomal RNA is filed under the name Xylariaceae sp. 1580. Its description in RNAcentral is "eukaryotic LSU rRNA". It matches the Rfam family "Eukaryotic large subunit ribosomal RNA", at positions 87 to 929 of the family's 3401-position model. Lineage: Eukaryota; Fungi; Ascomycota; Sordariomycetes; Xylariales; Xylariaceae. The record is from RNAcentral.